Molecule: transfer RNA, 86 nt
Filed under: Exophiala aquamarina CBS 119918
Lineage: Eukaryota; Fungi; Ascomycota; Eurotiomycetes; Chaetothyriales; Herpotrichiellaceae
Rfam family: tRNA
About the family: Transfer RNA (tRNA) molecules are approximately 80 nucleotides in length.
Source: Rfam by way of RNAcentral
GGCUGAAUAGUUCAGAGGUAGAAUUCUUGCUUUGGGCGUGGUUUCUGAAAUGUAAGAGGUCCUGGGUUCAAUUCCCAGUUCAGCCC